RNAcentral lists this long non-coding RNA (306 nucleotides) under Bos taurus (domestic cattle). RNAcentral's name for it is "long non-coding RNA NONBTAT005700". Lineage: Eukaryota; Metazoa; Chordata; Mammalia; Artiodactyla; Bovidae. The record is from RNAcentral.
UUCACUUUGAUCUUAGUUGUAGUUUUAGGAAAAAGACACCUAUACACUAAAAAUUAUUAAGAAGUCCAAAUACAUUCUGAGGCACAGUCAACACUGGAGUGAGUAAGAAGGUUUACAGAUGACAGGUUUGAAAGGAAAGUACUUAUAGGAAAGGAAAGUACUUGAUAAAGUUAUGUUGUGAUUGCUGAAAAAUCUGCUAAAUCUGUGGUCACAAUUUUAAAAUCAUUAAGCUAUUAAAAACUCCACAGCCUUCCUUUAAAAAGAGAGUUAAAUCUAAAAAGAAGUAAAGGAUAAACACCACUUUGU